GACGAACGCUGGCGGCGUGCUUAACACAUGCAAGUCGAACGGAAAGGCCCUGCUUUUGUGGGGUGCUCGAGUGGCGAACGGGUGAGUAACACGGGAGUAACCUGCCCUUGACUUUGGGAUAACUUCAGGAAACUGGGGCUAAUACCGGAUAGGAGCGCCUGCUGCAUGGUGGGGGUUGGAAAGUUUCGGCGGUGGGGGAUCGACUCGCGGCUUAUCAGCUUGUGGGUGGGGUAGUUGCUUACCAAGGCAUUGACGGGUAGCCGGCCUGGGAGGGUGACCGGCCACAUUGGGACUGAGAUACGGCCGAGACGCCUACGGGAGGCAGCAGUGGGGAAUAUUGCACAAUGGGCGGAAGCCUGAUGCAGCAACGCCGCGUGCGGGAUGACGGCCUUCGGGUGGUAAACCGCGUUCGCCUGUGACGAAGCGUGAGUGACGGUAAUGGGUAAAGAAGCACCGGCUAACUACGUG
This 468-nucleotide ribosomal RNA is filed under the name uncultured bacterium. Its description in RNAcentral is "partial 16S ribosomal RNA". It matches the Rfam family "Bacterial small subunit ribosomal RNA", at positions 28 to 507 of the family's 1533-position model. The record is from RNAcentral.